Molecule: long non-coding RNA, 233 nt
Filed under: Zostera marina
Lineage: Eukaryota; Viridiplantae; Streptophyta; Magnoliopsida; Alismatales; Zosteraceae
Description: long non-coding RNA (ZMAR_LNC002284)
Source: RNAcentral
CUGGACCCAAUCUGAUCAGUUAGGCAGUUAGGCGGUUACUGCCCAAAUGACCAGAUCACCCCCAUAAGAAUCCCUAUAAAUAGAGGGCACCCCCCACUCAUUGAAGGCAGGUCAUUUGGAGAAGAAGAAUUCCUAGCGAAGCAGAGCUCUGCACACUUGAGUUCCGGUCCGGUUUCCCGCGGAGUUCCCCGCUUGGCGCUUGCUUGCGCGUCUUGGAGUACUGGUCGGGUUUC